This is a ribosomal RNA of 106 nucleotides. It matches the Rfam family "5.8S ribosomal RNA", at positions 51 to 154 of the family's 154-position model. From Rfam's summary of the family: 5.8S ribosomal RNA (5.8S rRNA) is a component of the large subunit of the eukaryotic ribosome. It is transcribed by RNA polymerase I as part of the 45S precursor that also contains 18S and 28S rRNA.
UUAUGCGAUUACCGGUGUGAAUUGCAGAAUCCCGUGAACCAUCGAGUCUUUGAACGCAAGUUGCGCCCGAAGCCACUAGGCUGAGGGCACGUCUGCCUGGGUGUCA